AUUGAACGCUGGCGGCAGGCCUAACACAUGCAAGUCGAGCGGAUGAAGGGAGCUUGCUCCUGGAUUCAGCGGCGGACGGGUGAGUAAUGCCUAGGAAUCUGCCUGGUAGUGGGGGAUAACGUCCGGAAACGGGCGCUAAUACCGCAUACGUCCUGAGGGAGAAAGUGGGGGAUCUUCGGACCUCACGCUAUCAGAUGAGCCUAGGUCGGAUUAGCUAGUUGGUGGGGUAAAGGCCUACCAAGGCGACGAUCCGUAACUGGUCUGAGAGGAUGAUCAGUCACACUGGAACUGAGACACGGUCCAGACUCCUACGGGAGGCAGCAGUGGGGAAUAUUGGACAAUGGGCGAAAGCCUGAUCCAGCAAUGCCGCGUGUGUGAAGAAGGUCUUCGGAUGGUAAAGCACUUUAAGUUGGGAGGAAGGGCAGUAAGUUAAUACCUUGCUGUUUUGACGUUACCAACAGAAUAAGCACCGGCUAACUUCGUG
This 484-nucleotide ribosomal RNA is filed under the name uncultured bacterium. RNAcentral's name for it is "partial 16S ribosomal RNA". It matches the Rfam family "Bacterial small subunit ribosomal RNA", at positions 30 to 507 of the family's 1533-position model. The record is from RNAcentral.